Caenorhabditis elegans is the source of this 224-nucleotide non-coding RNA. The record is from Ensembl. Lineage: Eukaryota; Metazoa; Nematoda; Chromadorea; Rhabditida; Rhabditidae.
GAUCAAAUGUCUCUGACUAGGCAAGAAGAAAAAUGUUGAAUAAGGGAAAAAAGAAAGAGUACAAUUAUGACGGUGUUGAAAAGAAUUUUGUAUUAGGUGGUAGGCUAUGUAGCUGAAAUUCUGGCUUGUAUAGUUGUAGCAAUCCGAUAUUCCACUUCGCAAAGUACAUUUUUUGAAAUUUGUAGUUUUAGCAACGUCAAGAAAUCCCUAAUGUUUUACUAUAU